Myiozetetes cayanensis is the source of this 2167-nucleotide long non-coding RNA. RefSeq lists it as uncharacterized. The transcript has 3 exons. Lineage: Eukaryota; Metazoa; Chordata; Aves; Passeriformes; Tyrannidae. The record is from RefSeq and is a predicted model, not a curated record.
GGGAAGCCUCAGGGGGAGCCGUGGCAAGGCUGAGGGGCUGUUGCUCUCUGGGUGCCUCAAGUUUUGCUUUGGAAUCCCAGAGCCUCUCCCUGGGCGGGCUAUGAGGUAAAGGCUACUCUAACUCAGUUUUUUGGUGCCGACUUAACGCUCUUUUCUCGUUCUGUGUCCAUUUCCAGCCUCCCUCGUGGUUUCCCCUGGUGAUGGUGGAGCGUGACAAGUUGUGCUUCCUGCUGGGAGAGAGAAGGACCUUGGAAAGCUGCUCUGCGACCACAGCUGUGCCGAGCCUGGGCGUUUGUACCGGGGGCUGUGUUAUGGAAACUGCACAGACCUGAGCCAGGGGAUUGAAAAGGACUAACCCAGCAAGGUAAAGAAAGAAGGAAGAAGGGAACUGAGGCAGCAGCCAAGCAGCACCAAGUUCCUCUGUCAGCAGGUGAGUUGUCUUGAGGUUCCUAAGGCAGGCACUUGGGACUUCGGGGCCUCCAGACAGAGAAGACCUCGGAAACCCUUCGCUGAAGCCCUUCGGAAUCCUUAUCAGGGUGCCGCGCUUGCCAGGAUCCUUUGGGCACGACGAACCUUCCAGAAUGCUCCAAACCUUCACAGCCCACUUGUUCUUCUUGCCACAGUUGGACCGGCUCAGUGUCCCUGCAGAAAGAGAAAAUUCAAUGAUUCUCUCUGAAACCAGAACCUUCCCUGCUUUGCUUUCCCAUUCCACGUUUUGUUCCCUACACAACUGAGGCCCUUCCGGGCCUUGCCAAGUGGCAGCCAAGAAAUCCAACCCAAGAACCUGCCAGGGAGCAGCCUCUGUGCCACAGCAACAGCAUUCCAGGCCUGUCACUGCCGACCCUCCGCUUCACCCAACAGCUCCAGUGGCACCACAACUUGUCCUGAAGGCAGAAAGGCUCCUUUUAGGAGCACCACGAGCCAUCUAUACUGUAGCACUGGAAUUCCAUCUUCUGGACAAGCUGGGAGAAGAAGGGAAGAAACCAGGACCUUAAAGGCAAAUUAGGAGCACCUGUUCAUCCAGCAGCAGCUCCAAUAAAGGUACCGAGUCAACACCUCACCAAAGACACAGGACAGCAAGGGCCAACACCUUGACAAUCACUUCAGUUUUCAAUUUAUAAAGCCAAAUUAAAGCAAAGCUUUUCAGACACUUGGGAAGACUCAAUCCCAUUGUAACCAGCUUGUGGGACUCAUUCCCAGCCUCCUGAGGUUCAUUUCCCACCUCACUCGUGGCUGCACUAGACCUGGUUACACACACACACACAGAAGGAGCUGCUGCAACUUGUCCAGUUUCCUGCUUCUCCUUGAAACUCCUCCAGCUGUUUUCCCAGCUCUCCAGUGUCCAUUCCUUUGCCCACUGGACUUGUUCCCAGCCCCAGGGCUGCCAGGGCCACCCUGGGCUCUCACCUGCCCUCACACUGAGUGACCUUUCCCAGCCCCGAGUCCAUCCGGCACUGACCGAGCUGCUGGGGGCUGCGGUUCUCCCUGCUCCUUCCCUCCCUCUGCCUGGAGAACACCCCUUCCAGCUCCUGCACCCCCACCUCUUACCUCCCAGAAAAGCAGAGCUGCGUUCCCCCAGAUCCUCCGGCUGGACACCGCUGGCUCUGCGCGGCCCCCACCCUUCGGCGGGAAUGGUGAAGGGAGCUGGGAGGCCACGGCCCCCGAACCUGCCCGGUCUCCGGCUGCCGCACAGACCUGUUUUGUUGACAAGCGGGGCGCUCGAGGAAACUGUGUUGGGUCCGACUGAGCUGAAGUUCCUUUCCCCGCAGUAGCCCUCCCGAUGUGAGGCUUUGCAUUCGCAGCUAGAAGGGUGUCAAUAACGCUGGUGUUUUGGUUACUGCUGUGCACAGCAUCAGCACUGCAACAUUCCUUCCUCAGCUGAGGGCAAGAUCCUGGGAGGGGACCCAAGUAGGCCAGCUGACCCAAACUGACCAAAGGGGUAUUCCAGACCAUAUGACGUGAGCUCAGAUAUAAAAGCUGAGGCGUUCAUUGUGGGUAUCCAAUGGAUGCCUGCUGAGGAACCGUGACACGUUCCGAAGCCCUGCUUCUUGGGAGUAGCCAACCGUCACUGCUCACGAGAAGCAGAGAAUAAACCCUGGUAUCUUUCGCUUCUGUGCGCGCACGCUUUGCUUUACUUUUUUGCUUUAAAUAAACUGCCUUAUCCCAA